ACGGAGGGUGCAAGCAUUAAUCGGAAUUAUUGGGCGUAAAGGGCGCGUAGGCGGGGAUGCAAGUCAGACGUGAAAUGCAAAGGCUUAACCUUUGAACGGCGUUUGAAACUGCAUUUCUUGAGGGUAAGCGGGGAGAAUGGAAUUUCACAAGUAGCGGUUGAAUGCGUAGAUAUGUGGAGGAACACCUGUGGCGAAGGCGAUUCUCUAGUUUAUACCUGACGCUGAGGCGCGAAAGCAAGGGGAGCAAACAG
Molecule: ribosomal RNA, 251 nt
Filed under: uncultured prokaryote
Description: partial 16S rRNA
Rfam family: Bacterial small subunit ribosomal RNA
Source: RNAcentral